Clupea harengus (Atlantic herring) is the source of this 365-nucleotide long non-coding RNA. The record is from Ensembl. Lineage: Eukaryota; Metazoa; Chordata; Actinopteri; Clupeiformes; Clupeidae.
CUCUAGGCGCCGGUUCACUCCUCAUAUUCUCCUCCGGCUGUCAGCGGUGCGCAACGCAGGGCAGCGUUCUCACGAUUGAGAGGCGUUGCGCCCUAGCUCACGAAAACACAUCGAAACGGUCUCGCCUUUGACAUUGACAGUCUGGGGAAGUUUAAACAUUUACCCUGGAUAUCCGUCAGCGCGACAUGGUCAUCAGAGAAAAAAUUCUGACUUGAAAACAAGGAAUGGCUAAGAUGCUGGUGUAGUGCUGCGGUGUCUGACAUUACUUCUUAGGACCCCACAGGGGCCUGUUCAGGCAGCAUUCCGCCAGUGUGGGAUCUCAUUAGAAAACCUGUGGACACGCAACGCCAUCCGCCCAGUGAGCC